GAACACAAAAUGGCGACACGUGGUUAGCAUUCGUCGCCAACGAGAAAUUGGGGUCGGCCCGAAAGCUCUAGAAUGCACCCCUAUUCCUCCCCGGGGCCAUUCCCGCUCAACGAGUUUUAUGACCUAAAAAACCCCACAGGCUGGUCUGAAGGUCGGAGGCCUAAUUUUAACGCGUUUUCCUCCCUUUAAUUUGAAACGGGAACGCGAAUAACUAAAAUGUGGGCACAAUAUUUAACCUCUUGCUUUUUUAAAGCUUAAUAAUGGAUAGUAGGGGGCAGUAUCAAGGGAUAAUUUGGGUCCCCACAGUACCAAAGCAUUUAGAAACCUCUGCUUAAUUUAAGGAAUGAGAUAAAUUACUGCUUUUCUAGAUUUGGUAGCAUGGGCUGUUGUGCUGGAGAGAACGAGAGCUACGAAGAGACUAGAAUGCCUCUGACUUUUUCAUAGGACAGUUGGCCGAGGAAGACACUUAAAGAUGAAGUGCUUAAUUCAAGGUCACAGAAUGUCGGGGAUGGACCUCCAGAUUUCCUUACUGGAAAACAAGCUCAGGGCUCCCACUGAUUGUACAUUAUGGUGAGACGUGGUCUUGUAACACAGUGGUUAAGAAUGUGACUUUGGAGCCAGCCUGCUAGGGGCUGAAUUCUGACUCAGCCAUUUAUUAACUGUGUGACCUUAGGUCAUAGAAUUUUCCACACUCCUUGACGGAGGUUCUUAACCCUUAUCCAUCAGCAUUCUCAGACAGCACCUCCGGUUAGGGACAGUAUCUGACCGUCCGACAUCCCUGCAGCCCCCAUGCUGUCACACAGACUCAGCCUCAGGUAGAUGGUUUCCGUAGAUGGUGGCUUUCUUUGGACCCUUGAUAUCAACCAGUUACUAUUUG
RNAcentral lists this non-coding RNA (877 nucleotides) under Pongo abelii (Sumatran orangutan). The record is from RNAcentral. Lineage: Eukaryota; Metazoa; Chordata; Mammalia; Primates; Hominidae.